RNAcentral lists this ribosomal RNA (510 nucleotides) under uncultured bacterium. RNAcentral's name for it is "bacterial SSU rRNA". It matches the Rfam family "Bacterial small subunit ribosomal RNA", at positions 9 to 526 of the family's 1533-position model. The record is from RNAcentral.
GAGUUUGAUCCUGGCUCAGGACGAACGCUGGCGGCGCGCCUAACACAUGCAAGUCGAACGAGAGAUGAGGAGCUUGCUCUUCAAAUCGAGUGGCGAACGGGUGAGUAACGCGUGAGGAACCUGCCUCAAAGAGGGGGACAACAGUUGGAAACGACUGCUAAUACCGCAUAAGCCCACGGCUCGGCAUCGGGCAGAGGGAAAAGGAGUGAUCCGCUUUGAGAUGGCCUCGCGUCCGAUUAGCUAGUUGGUGAGGUAACGGCCCACCAAGGCAACGAUCGGUAGCCGGACUGAGAGGUUGAACGGCCACAUUGGGACUGAGACACGGCCCAGACACCUACGGGUGGCAGCAGUCGAGAAUCAUUCACAAUGGGGGAAACCCUGAUGGUGCGACGCCGCGUGGGGGAAUGAAGGUCUUCGGAUUGUAAACCCCUGUCAUGUGGGAGCAAAUUAAAAAGAUAGUACCACAAGAGGAAGAGACGGCUAACUCUGUGCCAGCCGCCGCGGUAAUUC